This 506-nucleotide ribosomal RNA is filed under the name uncultured bacterium. RNAcentral describes it as "partial 16S ribosomal RNA". It matches the Rfam family "Bacterial small subunit ribosomal RNA", at positions 28 to 523 of the family's 1533-position model. The record is from RNAcentral.
GAUGAACGCUAGCGGCAGGCCUAACACAUGCAAGUCGAGGGGCAGCACAUAAAGUGGUUUACUACUUUUGGUGGCGACCGGCGGACGGGUGCGUAACGCGUAUGCAACCUGCCUCCAACAGGGGGAUAACGGAGAGAAAUUUCCACUAAUACCCCAUAAUAUCAGAAUCGGCAUCGGUUUUGGUUGAAAACUCCGGUGGUUGGAGAUGGGCAUGCGUUGUAUUAGAUAGUUGGUGAGGUAACGGCUCACCAAGUCAACGAUACAUAGGGGGACUGAGGGGUUAGCCCCCCACACUGGUACUGAGACACGGACCAGAAUCCUACGGGAGGCAGCAGUGAGGAAUAUUGGUCAAUGGGGGCAACCCUGAACCAGCCAUGCCGCGUGCAGGAAGACGGCUCUAUGAGUUGUAAACUGCUUUUACAAGGGGAUAAAUCGGUGUACGUGUACACCGUUGAAGGUACCUUGGGAACAAGGAUCGGCUAACUCCGUGCCAGCCGCCGCGGUAA